Molecule: ribosomal RNA, 892 nt
Filed under: Bacillus sp. 8-3
Lineage: Bacteria; Bacillati; Bacillota; Bacilli; Caryophanales; Bacillaceae
Description: bacterial SSU rRNA
Rfam family: Bacterial small subunit ribosomal RNA
Source: RNAcentral
AGAGUUUGAUCAUGGCUCAGGACGAACGCUGGCGGCGUGCCUAAUACAUGCAAGUCGAGCGGACAGAAGGGAGCUUGCUCCCGGAUGUUAGCGGCGGACGGGUGAGUAACACGUGGGUAACCUGCCUGUAAGACUGGGAUAACUCCGGGAAACCGGAGCUAAUACCGGAUAGUUCCUUGAACCGCAUGGUUCAAGGAUGAAAGACGGUUUCGGCUGUCACUUACAGAUGGACCCGCGGCGCAUUAGCUAGUUGGUGGGGUAAUGGCUCACCAAGGCGACGAUGCGUAGCCGACCUGAGAGGGUGAUCGGCCACACUGGGACUGAGACACGGCCCAGACUCCUACGGGAGGCAGCAGUAGGGAAUCUUCCGCAAUGGACGAAAGUCUGACGGAGCAACGCCGCGUGAGUGAUGAAGGUUUUCGGAUCGUAAAGCUCUGUUGUUAGGGAAGAACAAGUGCGAGAGUAACUGCUCGCACCUUGACGGUACCUAACCAGAAAGCCACGGCUAACUACGUGCCAGCAGCCGCGGUAAUACGUAGGUGGCAAGCGUUGUCCGGAAUUAUUGGGCGUAAAGGGCUCGCAGGCGGUUUCUUAAGUCUGAUGUGAAAGCCCCCGGCUCAACCGGGGAGGGUCAUUGGAAACUGGGAAACUUGAGUGCAGAAGAGGAGAGUGGAAUUCCACGUGUAGCGGUGAAAUGCGUAGAGAUGUGGAGGAACACCAGUGGCGAAGGCGACUCUCUGGUCUGUAACUGACGCUGAGGAGCGAAAGCGUGGGGAGCGAACAGGAUUAGAUACCCUGGUAGUCCACGCCGUAAACGAUGAGUGCUAAGUGUUAGGGGGUUUCCGCCCCUUAGUGCUGCAGCUAACGCAUUAAGCACUCCGCCUGGGGAGUA